Dunckerocampus dactyliophorus (ringed pipefish) is the source of this 347-nucleotide long non-coding RNA. RefSeq lists it as uncharacterized. The transcript has 3 exons. NCBI's taxonomy places the organism in Eukaryota, Metazoa, Chordata, Actinopteri, Syngnathiformes, Syngnathidae. The record is from RefSeq and is a predicted model, not a curated record.
UAUGAAUUCAAGAAAUAAUGACAAAACAGGAAACGGGUGACUGUAUGGUGUCUCACUGCCACAUCGUGUCUUUGGAAACAUUUACAUCAAGAAUCACGUCUUUAAUGAAGGGAAGCUUCUUACGGUGGCAUCGAGAGAGUUGUGAUCUGCGCCAGCUGCUUUUCCUGCUUCAUCUCAGAAGAAACAUAAUCUCCAUUGAGAGAAAGAGUUCUUAAGGAGCAUCACUUCCUCACUGUCACUAGACGACCAUGAGGUGCGUUCAAGGACACUCCGAACAUCACCACUUUCUUUAUUAUGCGUGUAUGUGUGGUCUCAAUAAACAGACAAAGAAAAACAGUACUGGUAAG